CAGUAGCCGCGGUAAUACGAAGGGUGCAAGCGUUACUCGGAAUUACUGGGCGUAAAGCGUGCGUAGGUGGUGGUUUAAGUCCGUUGUGAAAGCCCAGGGCUCAACCUGGGAAUUGCAGUGGAUACUGGGUCACUAGAGUGUGGUAGAGGAUAGUGGAAUUUCCGGUGUAGCAGUGAAAUGCGUAGAGAUCGGAAGGAACAUCUGUGGCGAAGGCGACUAUCUGGGCCAACACUGACACUGAGGCACGAAAGCGUGGGGAGCAAACAGGAUUAGAGACCCGUGUAGUCCCUGUCUCUUAUAC
This 301-nucleotide ribosomal RNA is filed under the name uncultured bacterium. RNAcentral describes it as "partial 16S ribosomal RNA". It matches the Rfam family "Bacterial small subunit ribosomal RNA", at positions 509 to 807 of the family's 1533-position model. The record is from RNAcentral.